UGGACAAUGGGCGAAAGCCUGAUCCAGCCAUUCCGCGUGAGUGAAGAAGGCCUUCGGGUUGUAAAGCUCUUUCGCAAGGGAAGAAAACUUACACAAUAACACUGUGUGAGGCUGACGGUACCUUGAUAAGAAGCACCGGCUAACUACGUGCCAGCAGCCGCGGUAAUA
RNAcentral lists this ribosomal RNA (168 nucleotides) under bacterium enrichment culture DGGE band D1. Its description in RNAcentral is "partial 16S ribosomal RNA". It matches the Rfam family "Bacterial small subunit ribosomal RNA", at positions 365 to 525 of the family's 1533-position model. The record is from RNAcentral.